This 231-nucleotide ribosomal RNA is filed under the name uncultured bacterium. RNAcentral describes it as "partial 16S ribosomal RNA". It matches the Rfam family "Bacterial small subunit ribosomal RNA", at positions 118 to 347 of the family's 1533-position model. The record is from RNAcentral.
UGAGCAAUCUGCCCUUCUCAUCGGAAUAAGCGUUGGAACGACGUCUAAUGCCGAAUACGACCUCCUUUCGCAUGAUCGGAGGUGAAAAGCUCCGGCGGAGAAGGACGAGCUCGCGGCCUAUCAGCUAGUUGGUGUGGGUAAUGGCUCACCAAGGCGACGACGGGUAGCCGGCCUGAGAGGGUGACCGGCCACACUGGGACUGAGAUACGGCCCAGACUCCUACGGGAGCAG